This 204-nucleotide microRNA precursor is filed under the name Leersia perrieri. RNAcentral's name for it is "MIR812 microRNA precursor family". It matches the Rfam family "MIR812 microRNA precursor family". Lineage: Eukaryota; Viridiplantae; Streptophyta; Magnoliopsida; Poales; Poaceae. The record is from Rfam by way of RNAcentral.
AAUACAUGUCGCCGUUGACUUUUCACCAUAUAUUUGACCAUUCGUCUUAUUCAAAAAAUUUAUGCAAAUAUUAUUUAUUUUGUUAUGAAUUAGUUUAUUACUAUAGAUAUUUUAAACUUGACUUGUAUUUUUUAUAUUUGCAUAAAUUUUUUGAAUAAGACGAAUGGUUAAACAUGUGAUAAAAAGUCAACGGCGACAUGUAUU